ACUUUCAACAACGGAUCUCUUGGUUCUGGCAUCGAUGAAGAACGCAGCGAAAUGCGAUAAGUAGUGUGAAUUGCAGAAUUCAGUGAAUCAUCGAAUCUUUGAACGCACAUUGCGCCCCUUGGUAUNUCCAUGGGGCAUGCCUGUUCGAGCGUCAUUUG
Molecule: ribosomal RNA, 158 nt
Filed under: Didymella macrostoma
Lineage: Eukaryota; Fungi; Ascomycota; Dothideomycetes; Pleosporales; Didymellaceae
Also listed under: 3 other names
Description: 5.8S ribosomal RNA
Rfam family: 5.8S ribosomal RNA
About the family: 5.8S ribosomal RNA (5.8S rRNA) is a component of the large subunit of the eukaryotic ribosome. It is transcribed by RNA polymerase I as part of the 45S precursor that also contains 18S and 28S rRNA.
Source: RNAcentral